Molecule: non-coding RNA, 95 nt
Filed under: uncultured Niameybacter sp.
Lineage: Bacteria; Bacillati; Bacillota; Clostridia; Lachnospirales; Lachnospiraceae
Description: TPP riboswitch (THI element)
Rfam family: TPP riboswitch aptamer (THI element)
About the family: Vitamin B(1) in its active form thiamin pyrophosphate (TPP) is an essential coenzyme that is synthesised by coupling of pyrimidine and thiazole moieties in bacteria.
Source: RNAcentral
AACAGGGGUGCUAAAACCUUUUUGGCUGAGAUUGAAUGAAAUGGCAUUCUAGACCCUUAUAACCUGAUCCAGGUAAUGCUGGCGUAGGAAAUCUA